This 22-nucleotide non-coding RNA is filed under the name Arabidopsis thaliana (thale cress). The record is from RNAcentral. Lineage: Eukaryota; Viridiplantae; Streptophyta; Magnoliopsida; Brassicales; Brassicaceae.
AGACAUGGGCCACGGUUAUGGA